UCAGCUGACUCCCCGGUGAGCUCUGAAGUUGGGAAGGCCCUGCAGAGUUAUACAGAGACAAAAGACGAGGCAACAGGAUGAGGGCUGUCCUGGGAGGGGGCACAAGUUUGGGCAAAGCGGCUCUUUUCAGCCAGGAAUGCAAAUAUGAAGCUGGCAGUGGUCUAGCCAUCUGGAGCUCAUGUGGCAACCAAGGGGAAGAAAGCUUUACUCCAGGGAUGCGGAAAGAGAGCUGGACGCAGCAGCUGGGUAUUUAUGUGAGUAAGACAAGACCAUAAUUAGUCAAGCCACUCCUGUGGCUGGGUUUCUGUUGUUUGCAGGUGAGGGGACUCAGCUGGAAUACACUGGAAUGGUCACCCCUGUUGUUAUGGCUGGUGUCUGUGCUGGCUGCUCAGUGCAUUGUUCUGGCACAACUGGUUAUCUAGAAACACACGGGCUGGAGCUGUGAGUCAUAGGUUACGGGUUUUGGACUUGGGGAGCUGAUGAAGAGUCUUAGAAAAUAGGGAAGGAGUUCUAAAGGGUGGGUGUGGAGGAGGCUAGGCAGCAAGAAACAAGCGUGGGACGAGGGAAAGAUGAAGUCAAAUCACUGUCGUUCAAUAGUGGUCAUUUCCUACCAACCUCCAGUGUCACCACACAUUGAGGUCUUUCAUGGACCCCACACAGGACUAGGGAGGUGGCAUGGGAGAGCUUAGGCCUCAAAGAUCGGCAGAACUAAGUCUGAAUCUUGGAUCCCUCACUGAUAAGCUAUGUGAUCUUGGGCAAGUCACUUAGCUUGUCUGAGUUUUGUCUGGAAAAGAGGUAAUAAGACUUACAAAUAGAGAUGCGCCAAGAAAAACAUUUCAAAUAAAUUGAUGAGAAAAUGGAGGAAAACAAGCAGACAGCAGUGAGUCAGGCCACAGAGCAUGUGCUCCACCGUUCAGUACACUUGCUGGAAGCCCUCCAACAAACCGGCUCCCAGUCGAGCAGCCAAUGAAAAGGGCAAAACACAUCUAUUUUCAGACUCUCAGGACUCACAAAAUCAGGCAAGGUAGUUCCCUGGAAGACACACGGCCAUUCUUGGCACGGGAUUCAAGGAGAGAAAUGUCUUCCAUGGAUCUUCUUUAAGAAAACAUAGACAUAGUGAAGGCUGUUCUGAAGUAUUUUACACAAGACCAUCUUGAAAAAGUGGUUAAAUAAGUUUGGAAAGCCCCGUCUAUCAGGUCUCCUUGGGGAGUCCCACACUGAUCAAUGUUUUAAAGCCUCCGUGAAUCUCACAGCAAACAAACUAGCUUCCAGAGCUUCUGGAGCACAGAAGGGUAUCUUCCACGUCCUCUUCCUCUCGUUCCUGUUUUUCUGUAGCUGCUGUUAUCUAGAGUGUCAUGGAGCACUCGAAGGCAACUACUGGGCAGUGUUUUCCCCAACAGGAAGGGAAAGAAAGGUGUGGUGAGCCGAGGUUAUUCCUUGGAACUCCUGCAGAAGUCCUGGGCCCACUUCUGGAGUGCAGCCAGAAGGGAAUGGUAGUCUGAAGCCUUGACCUUAGCAGCUCAGGCCAGUUUCUUUGCGUGGGUUGGUUUUGUAGGUUCUAUAGAGCUAAGAGGCCCUCUCUCAAAGUCGCCUCCACUCACUCAUUGUCUUCCUGGGCUUGUGCCGUGUCUCUUCAAUCUUUGGAGCAUGAAGAUGCGGUGGAAGUCACAUGGAGAGAAGUCUGACAGGCAUCAAAACAGGCUUGGAGACUCCUGGGAGGUUCAGUGACCAGUCUCGUCCAAGGAACUGAAGACCUAAAGCAAUGUUGCCUGAAGGUUUUAAAUUAUCUGCAUGACUCAUCUUUCCUUCUGCUUUUUGAAAGUCUGCAUCUCCUUGUCCCCUUCUAACCCCCAAGCCCACUCACUCCUGGGAUGUGUCACAGGUGCUUUGUCAGUUUCCCUGAGAGACACCCCACCUUGCUUUGUCACAUCAACCUCCUCUCUGGGGCAGAGAGACACCUUGCUUGCCCCUUCUUGGCUGUGUCCACACAUGGCCUCAAUGUCGCUCUCGUGUUGCUGGACUUUCUGCAGAAGACCUACACAACUUCCCGGAGGAAGGGGAUGCUUCACAGAUCGUGGAGGCUAUACACACAACCAGGACCAAGAUACAGCUCAGAAACUGGUGGGCUCUUAUCCUUUCAUUGCUGUUCACCUCACCCGGGGUCACUGGAUAAUGUCCAAGUUGUCGUAACUAACACAUGUAGAUCAACAAAUAAUGGGAGAGAGUGGGUAAGUGGCUGGGCUGCCGAAUCGCACCUGAAGGAGUAGAUGUCAUUCAGAGCAUCCUACACAGGGUCCAACCGGCUGUGCUGACCCAGGUUCCUGAUUCUGUCCACACAGCACAGUCCAGUGGGUGGGGCCUGAUGGUAAAAGUACAGACGCUACCUAAAUCUGCAUUCAAAAUCCAGAUGAUCUGUCCUUUGGGGCCAUGCUGCGGAUCAGGAGUAUAAAGAAGGCUGAGGCCACCCAGAGCAAGGGGAGAGGAUCCUCUGCAGCUCGGCAGGAUUUCAAGCCCCACAAAGAUGAACUAGAGUUCACAGUGGGUACUAGCAAGCCAGAGUCAGAAAUCACUGCUCCAGAGACCAAAAGGGUGCCAGAGUUUCUCUUUCCUCUACAACGAAGAUGACCUGAUAUGAGGUAUAAGACUAGAAUUCGAAGACAUCCUAUCUUAGGCGGGGUAGGGUGUUGAAACAAGGUGCAUAUGCUUUCUCCUUUACGCUGUUAUUUUUUAAAGUGUGCUGAAAGCAGAGUUACAAUCUGAUUGUUAAUCUAGCACAGUUUGCUUUGCUGGAAACACUCAUUUUGAGGGGAAACCUGCUAUCUGCGGUACCUUAUCUCAUCAAGGUGUGACUUUCGACACAUGUUUCUAUUGGGUUGUUUUCGUCUUUUUCUUGCAAAUUUGAAAGAACUCUCUCUGUUAUAGAUAUCAAUACUGUAUUGACUAUCCUUGUUGCAAGUAUUUUUUUCAAACAAUUAUUUUUAUAUUGGCUUUUCUAGGGUCUGUUUUAUUCUACAAAAAUUUGAAAAAUUUAUGUAAUCAAAUGUGUUUAUCUUUUAUAGCUUCUGGAUUCUUUUGUCACUAUCGCUAGUAUAAGGAAAAGCUACUGAUUUUUUUGUGUUAGGAGUUUUUUCUCUUGGGUUUUCUAGAUAUACAAACAUGUAAAGUUUUGCUGAUUAUUUCUCUUUUUGUACUCACUGUGCUUGUUAGACCCUCUAAGAUAAUAUUAAAUUAUAAUGGUGGUGGCAGUCCGCUAUAUAUGGUUCCUGAACCUAACCGGUUUAGUUUUAAUAUUUUACCAUUUGGGGUGGUAUUUUUAGAGGAUUUUGGUAGCAAAUUUGAUCACAAAUAGUUCCACAAUUUCCUCUAUUUUGGAAAUAAUUGCUGCUGUUUUAUCAAAUAAUUGUUCAGUAUUUAUUAACGCAAUCAUUUGGGUUUUGUUCUUUAAUUUGUUAAUCUAAUGCAUUAAGAGAAUAGAGUUCUAAUAUGGACCACCUUUUUGUGUUUAGAUAACAUCACUUGACCAUAAUCUAUUACUCUUUUGGUAGACUGCUGGAUCUCAUUCACAACUGCUUGAUUUUACUUACGAAUUUGUAAGAUUGCUACAUAGUUGCAUUCUAUCUUUAACAUAGAGUGGCUUCACAAAAUUAAACGGGACAUUUUCCAUCUUUUUCUAUGAGCUACAAUAAUUUAAAUAUCAUAGAAAUGAUCUAUCCCUUAAAGGUUAGGUAGAACUUAGUGUGAAAACAUCCACUUCUGGUAUCUUUUUUAAAGUAGAUAUUAGUUUACCUUUCUAAUUUUUCCACAGUAAUACACUUGCAACAACAUGUAUGAAUUAUUUUUGUAAUCUGAAAGCCAUCAAAAGAGGAAAAGAAAAUCAUAAGGCAGAAAGUAAAACUAGUCAAUGGUUAUUAUUAACAUUUUAAAAUAUAUGCUUCUGGUCUUUUCUCUAUGAAAGCUUUUCAGAUACUUACCGAUAGUAGUUGGUUGUCCCUCUUGUGGCAUUAGUAGCCACUGGUGAUCAUUGCCUGGAUGUAUUAAUUCAUUAGGGGUUACAAAGUGGUGACAUCAUCAUUCUAUCGUUUCUUCUUUAUUUAUUACCUGGACUACUUCUAUAAAGAGAAACUUCUCUAUUUGAUUGCAAUAAAAAUUUUAAGGACUA
Molecule: non-coding RNA, 4159 nt
Organism: Equus caballus (horse)
Lineage: Eukaryota; Metazoa; Chordata; Mammalia; Perissodactyla; Equidae
Source: RefSeq, a predicted model, not a curated record